UUUAAGUGGAGAGUUUGAUCCUGGCUCAGAAUGAACGCUGGCGGCGUGCCUAACACAUGCAAGUCGAACGAGAAACUCCGGGCUUGCUCGGAGGAGUAAAGUGGCGCACGGGUGAGUAACGCGUGGGUAACCUGCCCCGGAAUCUGGGAUAACAUCGCGAAAGCGUUGCUAAUACCGGAUAUCGUCCUUUAAACUGUGGUUUUUGGGAUGAAAGAUGACCUCUCCAUGGAAGUUGUCGUUCAGGGAGGGGCCCGCGUACCAUUAGCUUGUUGGUGGGGUAAUGGCCUACCAAGGCUACGAUGGUUAGCUGGUCUGAGAGGAUGAUCAGCCACACUGGAACUGAAACACGGUCCAGACUCCUAC
RNAcentral lists this ribosomal RNA (363 nucleotides) under Desulfobacteraceae bacterium. RNAcentral describes it as "bacterial SSU rRNA". It matches the Rfam family "Bacterial small subunit ribosomal RNA", at positions 1 to 342 of the family's 1533-position model. Lineage: Bacteria; Pseudomonadati; Thermodesulfobacteriota; Desulfobacteria; Desulfobacterales; Desulfobacteraceae. The record is from RNAcentral.